This 324-nucleotide ribosomal RNA is filed under the name uncultured Sandona. RNAcentral's name for it is "SSU rRNA". The stretch from base 113 to 324 matches the Rfam family "Eukaryotic small subunit ribosomal RNA", at positions 743 to 955 of the family's 1831-position model. The record is from RNAcentral. Lineage: Eukaryota; Cercozoa; Glissomonadida.
GAUUUCUGGUAUUGUUGGGCUGGUCCGGGCCUUCUGGGUUCUGUGUAUCAGUUUUGACGUGCCAUCUUUUCCGGAAACGGCGUGUGGGGGCAACUCUGCACGAGAAUACGCUCCGGAUCUUUUACUUUGAAAAAAUUAGAGUGUUUCAAGCAGGCUUUAUGCUAUGAAUACAUUAGCAUGGAAUAAUAAUUUAGGACUUCGGUUCUAUUUUGUUGGUUUCUAGGACUGAAGUAAUGAUUGAUAGGGAUAGUUGGGGGUGCUAGUAUUCAGCGGCCAGAGGUGAAAUUCUCGGAUUCGCUGAAGACUAACUUAUGCGAAAGCAUU